UAACACAUGCAAGUCGAGGGGCAGCAUGGUCUUAGCUUGCUAAGGCCGAUGGCGACCGGCGCACGGGUGAGUAACACGUAUCCAACCUGCCGUCUACUCUUGGACAGCCUUCUGAAAGGAAGAUUAAUACAAGAUGGCAUCAUGAGUCCGCAUGUUCACAUGAUUAAAGGUAUUCCGGUAGACGAUGGGGAUGCGUUCCAUUAGAUAGUAGGCGGGGUAACGGCCCACCUAGUCUUCGAUGGAUAGGGGUUCUGAGAGGAAGGUCCCCCACAUUGGAACUGAGACACGGUCCAAACUCCUACGGGAGGCAGCAGUGAGGAAUAUUGGUCAAUGGGCGAGAGCCUGAACCAGCCAAGUAGCGUGAAGGAUGGCUGCCCUAUGGGUUGUAAACUUCUUUUAUAAAGGAAUAAAGUCGGGUAUGGAUACCCGUUUGCAUGUACUUUAUGAAUAAGGAUCGGCUAACUCCGUGCCAGCAGCCGCGGUAAUACGGAGGAUCCGAGCGUUAUCCGGAUUUAUUGGGUUUAAAGGGAGCGUAGAUGGAUGUUUAAGUCAGUUGUGAAAGUUUGCGGCUCAACCGUAAAAUUGCAGUUGAUACUGGAUAUCUUGAGUGCAGUUGAGGCAGGCGGAAUUCGUGGUGUAGCGGUGAAAUGCUUAGAUAUCACGAAGAACUCCGAUUGCGAAGGCAGCCUGCUAAGCUGCAACUGACAUUGAGGCUCGAAAGUGUGGGUAUCAAACAGGAUUAGAUACCCUGGCAGUCCACACGGUAAACGAUGAAUACUCGCUGUUUGCGAUAUACUGCAAGCGGCCAAGCGAAAGCGUUAAGUAUUCCACCUGGGGAGUACGCCGGCAACGGUGAAACUCAAAGGAAUUGACGGGGGCCCGCACAAGCGGAGGAACAUGUGGUUUAAUUCGAUGAUACGCGAGGAACCUUACCCGGGCUUAAAUUGCAGAUGAAUUACGGUGAAAGCCGUAAGCCGCAAGGCAUCUGUGAAGGUGCUGCAUGGUUGUCGUCAGCUCGUGCCGUGAGGUGUCGGCUUAAGUGCCAUAACGAGCGCAACCCUUGUUGUCAGUUACUAACAGGUUCCGCUGAGGACUCUGACAAGACUGCCAUCGUAAGAUGUGAGGAAGGUGGGGAUGACGUCAAAUCAGCACGGCCCUUACGUCCGGGGCUACACACGUGUUACAAUGGGGGGUACAGAGGGCCGCUACCACGCGAGUGGAUGCCAAUCCCCAAAACCUCUCUCAGUUCGGACUGGAGUCUGCAACCCGACUCCACGAAGCUGGAUUCGCUAGUAAUCGCGCAUCAGCCACGGCGCGGUGAAUACGUUCCCGGGCCUUGUACACACCGCCCGUCAAGCCAUGGGAGCCGGGGGUACCUGAAGUGCGUAAACGGGAGGAGCGCCCUAGGGUAAAACUGGUGACUGGG
RNAcentral lists this ribosomal RNA (1426 nucleotides) under uncultured bacterium. Its description in RNAcentral is "16S ribosomal RNA". It matches the Rfam family "Bacterial small subunit ribosomal RNA". The record is from RNAcentral.